GGACAAGAAGCCUUUUUCUUAAGCUUGAAAGCUUCCAAGUUCCGAGAACUUACGAUCCACUUGACUAAAGUCGGUCAAUGGCAGAGACACACAUCAUUUUUACCCAUUUCCUUCAAGCUUCAUCUCAAAGAAGACGAAGUGGAAGGAGAAGGAAGCCAAACAUUUAGCAUCUGAAGCUACAGAUUCUAAUAAGAAUCAGAAGAGAUGGCUGUUUUUAGGCCUGGGGAGAGCAUAGGGUUCAGAGAACAGCUAGUCAAGAAAUUAUGCUCAAUAGACAUGAAGACUCACCAGUCUGCAGGAAAGUUAUAUGUUUCUGAAAAGAUUCGAAACUCAUCUGAACUUGUUUUUAGCUUCCCUGGAUCUUGGUCUGUAAGUGAUUGGUUUAUACGAAGUCCCUUUGGAGAAGUGAAGGUGGAUCUUGAGCUGUUCCCUAGUCUCAAACAUAUAGGUCUCAAUGAAAUUGCUACUGUUAAUGAAGCCUUUUUGAAUAGAUUCAGGGCAAUUUUGGCUAAUACACAAUUCAAGAAGGAGGUAUGUGAGUUCAUUAUUCUAUGAUGGGUUAUGCUACCGUCUUUGUUUAGUAGUUAGAUACUUCAUCCCACAUGUAUGUAGUUGUUUGUUCUUUUAAUCCAAUGUCAUUCUGAUUGAAUAUAUAAUUUUGGUUUGAUUGAUUGAUUCAUUUCAAAUUUCCUUGUGGUUUCAUGUAUGAAAAGUGAUUAGAAACAUUUUUCUGGUAAGAUUGGAAAGAAUGUAAAUUGGAGACUUUGCAAGAAUCUUUAAAGAGUUCUGAGAAAUGAAUAGUUAGAGCACAAGAAAACAUUGAAAGAACGAUUUGUUUAAUCAAGUUGAGUCUUUGUUUCCAAUUUUCUCAGGUGAGAACAGCUGUGACAGAUAGGAAGCCAGUUGUGUUUACAGGGCACUCUCUUGGGGGGCCUAUUGCUAUACUUGCAACUAUCUGGUUCUUGGAAGUGUACAUAAGACCAGACCCCAACAAAGAGGCACCGCUUUGCGUGACUUUUGGGUCUCCUCUUGUUGGAGAUCGCAUUGUGAGCCAUGCGCUUAGGCGUGAAAACUGGUCUCCCUACUUCAUAAAUUUUGUCGUGAGAUAUGACAUUGUCCCAAGGGUAUCACUCACGCCUCUCUCAUUUGUUGAGCAGCAACUGCAGAGAAUUCUAAAUUUCUUCAACCCAAGAUCCCCAUUUUACAUGCAAGAAAAUGUGGGUGAAGCCUCAGGCUUCUAUGUAACUGUGAUGAGGAAUGCAUUAUCUGUUGUGAGCCAUGCUGCCUGUAAGAUCAUGGGAAGUACAAAUCUUUUGUUGGAUACUCUAUCGAACUUUGUUGAGCUAAGUCCUUACAGACCAUUAGGUACCUAUGUCUUCUGCACAGGAAAUGGGAAACUUGUGGCCAUAAAGAAUCCAGAUGCUGUUUUGCAGCUACUGUUCUAUACCUCUCAGUCGAACUCUGAAGCAGUUGCCCUCAAUAGCCUAAAAGAUCAUUUGAACUACAAACAUGAACUGCAAGAAUGCUUAAAAAAGCAAAGUGUAACCUGUUUAGAUGAUAAUCAUCUGGAAGCACUUCCAUUGUCGAAUGAUGUAACGGUGGAGAUUAACAUGGUCUUGAAUGACCUAGGCCUGAGCACUAGAGCAAGAUUGUGUCUCCGUGCUGCUGGAGAGUUGGAGAAGCAGAAAAAGAGUAACCAGAAAGCAAUUGACAUAAAAAUGGAAGAUAUCAAGAGAGGACUAGGAAAACUACAAGGAUACAAAAAGAGAUGUCAACAUAAAGUGGGCUACUAUGAUGCCUUCAAGCUUUCAAAAGACAAAGAAGACUUCGAUGCUAAUGUGAAGAGGCUUGAGUUGGCAGGUAUAUGGGAUGAAAUAAUCGAAAUGCUGAAAAGAAAUGAACUCCCUGACGAAUUCGAGGGUCGGAAGGCAUGGAUUGAAAUAGGAACCAGGUACCGGCGCCUUGUUGAGCCCCUGGAUAUUGCUAAUUACUAUCGACACCUGAAGAAUGAAGAUACAGGGCCUUAUAUGGCAAGGGGCAGACCUAAGCGGUAUAAAUGUACCCAAAGAUGGCGAGAGCAUGCUGAGAGGAUGUCAAAUGAAUCCUUGGAAUCCUGUUUUUGGGCUGAGGUAGAGGAGCUCUGCAUUAAAUCUGGAAACCCAAGCAUCAGAGACAGAGUUUUGCAGCUGAAGAGAAGAGUUGAAGAAUGGAUUCGAAAUGGGGUUCUAGAUGAAGAUGUGUUCUUGAAUGGUUCCACCUUUGAAAAAUUGUUGACAGAGCACUCUUUAAAAAACUCAGAUCAGAAUGUUGUAUUUCAAGGAUCAUGGAGCUGAUCAUGAGGGACACCGUGCACGUAAUAAAAUAUAAUAUUAUUAUGCGUAGGCCUUGCGCUGUAAGGACUUCUGGUGUGUUGUACUUCUUUCCGUUAAUGUAAUGCAAGGCAUUUGGUUAAAGAAAUGUUAACUAUAACCACCUGCCUCUGCUUGAACCUUUUUACUAUGCUCUUAAUUGCAUUGCUUUUCUUUUUGAUCAGUCUACUAGAGAGAGGGAUGCAAAUUUAAAUUGCCCAAAAUGGUCCAUCACUCUUAAUAUAGCUUAGCAUUUUGCAUGUAUCUUGUAGCGUUGAAGGCAGUUCAAAG
This 2639-nucleotide unclassified non-coding RNA is filed under the name Hevea brasiliensis (rubber tree). The record is from RNAcentral. Lineage: Eukaryota; Viridiplantae; Streptophyta; Magnoliopsida; Malpighiales; Euphorbiaceae.